AAAUGAAAUAAAAAAUUACAAAUAUUAAAGUAGUAUCUAAAAAAUAACGAAAAUGUGCAGCAUCUUGUUUAUGUAAUCUAUCUAUAUAAUCUGAAAUUUAAAAUAUUUAAUGUUCCCAGAUGCUUUCUUAAAUAGGUUAUAAAUUAGUAGAGUAAUAUAAACGUCUAAUAACGCUUAUAUGUAUCACUACUGUCCGUUUUCAGCACUGGAUAUAUUUAUUUUGAUAUAUUUAUAUAAUCUAAUAUUUUAUAUUGUGAUGUAUAUUUUUAAAAACAAAUUGGCGCGCAAGACGGACCGCGCAUGCGCAUGAAGAAACGUUCCAGAUACAGUCCACGCGGUGAGAUCCAAACCGCGUUAGUAACAUCUUUGAAGGUUUCAUGAAAUUCAGUCUGGCUCGAUCCGCUUGGUAGCAAUGGUCCAGGUGAUGCUGUAAGGAAGGUUUUGCAAGUUGCCACAUACAAUGGAUCGAAAGGGAAAGAAAUACCUUUGGCACUGUGAUUAUUCUGUAGGCCGUCUCAAUCUGAUGUUCCAGCUGUGAUGCCUUCAUUGCAGACACCUUAAAGUAUGUUCCACAUCGAGGAACAAGGGUAAGUCAUAUUCUGACUACACAAAGCUUAAUGCAAAUGGGUGAAGUGUCCCUUUAAUGGCGCACUCCGAUUAUUAGCAUCAGUUUUAAGAAGGUUGUGGUCAUGACAGUGUUGCCUUCUAAAUCAGAUUCUUUUUUGUCCACAAAUCAAGUAACUUUUAAUAAAUGAGUAAAAAAUGAACAAAUAAAAGAGUAAACUAUUGCCCCGCCUAAGACUAUCUCUUUAACCAAGCAUUUACCUAAUUCAUCUCCUAUACAUACUUAUGCCGCAUCUAUUAUACUGUAUGAAUGCCUUUAACACUACAUGUGAUGGGCCUCUUUACUAAUUGCACCUUGUUUCUGUUUCCCUGUCUCGCCCUCGUUCACCGAGGAAAUCUGAGACGGACAGGUCCAAUUCCAAUUUGGAGGGAUGCUCAUCCCACCAUUCAUCCGCUUGAUGCCCAUCCUCAUGCUGCUAAAUUGAUGACUGCUCACAUAUACUCACCGGCCACUUUAUUAGGUACAGCUUACUAGUACUGGGUUGGACCCCCUUUUGCCUUCAGAACUGCCUUAAUCCUUCGUGGCAUAGAUUCAACAAGGUACUGGAAAAAUUCCUCAGAGGUUUUGGUCCAUAUUCACAUGAUACCAUCAUGCAGUUGCUGUAGAUACGUUGGCUACACAUCCAUGAAGCGAAUCUCCAGUUCCACCACAUCCCAAAGGUGCUCUAUUGGGUUGAGAUCUGGUGACUGUGGAGGCCAUUUAAGUACAGUUGAACUCACUGUCAUGUUCAAGAAACCAGUCUGAGAUUAUUUAUUCUGCCGGAAGUAGACAUCCGAAGAUGGGUACAUGGUGGUCAUAAAGGGAUGUACAUGGUCAGAAUCAAUGCUCAGGUAGGCUGUGGCAUUGACACGAUGCUCAAUUGGUACUAAUGGGCCCAAAGCGUGCCAAGAGAAUAUCCCCCACACCAUUACACCAGCACCAGCAGCUUGAACAUUGAUACAAGGCAGGAUGGAUCCACAUUCUCAUGUUGUUGACGCCAAAUUCUGACCCUACCAUCAGAAUGUCGCAGCAGAAAUCGAGACUCAUCAGAGCAGGAAAUGUUUUUCCAAUCUUCUUUUGUCCAAUUUUGGUGAGCUUGUGCGAAUUGUAGCCUCGUUUUCCUAUUCUUUACUGUCAGGAGUGACACCCGGUGUGGUCUUCUGCUGCUGUAGCCCAUCCACCUCAAGGUUCGGCGUGUUGUGGGUUUAGAGAUGCUCUUCUGCAUACCUCACUUUUUUAUUUUGCUUUUACCUCCAUUGUACCGAACUGUGACGCCUGAAUAUAUAUAUGUUUAUAUGUUUAUAUGUUUAUAUGUGUAUAUUUAUAUUUAUAUGUGUUAGUAUUAUAUAGCAUAGUAUAUACUAAAUUCUAUACUACAUUACUGUAACAUAUGUUGUAGCUGAAAUUAAUAACAGGGUCUCUUUCCUCGGUUACAAACUGCACCACACUACAGCUGUAACAUGUAAGAUGGGAACUGCACCUCCUGGCUAAGCCUGGUUUUCUCACUGGGUUUUUAUUUCUGUCUCCCUGAAGAAGUUUCCCCCUUGACCAAUGUUUCUGUGUGGCUUGCUUACUAGGAAACUGCUGAUAUUAACCUUAUAACGUCUUUAGAAAAUUAUGUUAAUACUGGUAUAUAGUUUGGAGUUGGAGUAUAUUACAUACACUGUUCUAUCACUGUUCUAUUACUGUAUGUUCAUAAUUUAGCUUGGAAUGGAGUAAUUCUUAUAUUAUUUAUAUAAGAAAUAACUCCAUGUAACCUCAAAUACUCCAUCCUUAACUGUAUUUAAAACUUUGAGGUUCUUUGCUUUUCUGUGUCGUCUUAUAUUCUAUUACAUGUACAUAUGAUUUGGUAUGAUGAACUAUUGUGAAAAGCACUGUAUAAAUAUAAUUGAAUUGAAUUAAAUUGAUGUUUGUUAAACAUUUUUGCAAGGAUAUUGUACUAAGACAUAAAGUUGGUGAAAUGCUCAAAAAUGUUUUGUAACCUUUAAAUAAUGGAAAGUAAGAAAGCUGGAUAUUGUAUUGUUUUGGAUUAUAAAAAUUAAUGUUUAAAGAAUGUUAUAUUUGUGAAAAUAAAGUUUUGAAAAUA
Molecule: non-coding RNA, 2690 nt
Organism: Misgurnus anguillicaudatus (oriental weatherfish)
Lineage: Eukaryota; Metazoa; Chordata; Actinopteri; Cypriniformes; Cobitidae
Source: RefSeq, a predicted model, not a curated record